RNAcentral lists this ribosomal RNA (253 nucleotides) under uncultured bacterium. Its description in RNAcentral is "partial 16S ribosomal RNA". It matches the Rfam family "Bacterial small subunit ribosomal RNA", at positions 524 to 776 of the family's 1533-position model. The record is from RNAcentral.
UACGUAGGGCGCAAGCGUUGUCCGGAUUUAUUGGGCGUAAAGAGCUCGUAGGCGGUCUGUCGCGUCGGCUGUGAAAACCCGAGGCUCAACCUCGGGCCUGCAGUCGAUACGGGCAGACUAGAGUGCGGUAGGGGAGACUGGAAUUCCCGGUGUAGCGGUGAAAUGCGCAGAUAUCAGGAGGAACACCGGUGGCGAAGGCGGGUCUCUGGGCAGUAACUGACGCUGAGGAGCGAAAGCGUGGGGAGCGAACAGG